RNAcentral lists this unclassified non-coding RNA (959 nucleotides) under Hevea brasiliensis (rubber tree). Lineage: Eukaryota; Viridiplantae; Streptophyta; Magnoliopsida; Malpighiales; Euphorbiaceae. The record is from RNAcentral.
AAGUGCACUAGAGAGGCCAGCAACAGCUGAUUCUGUUUCACGCUGCAGAAGCUUCCUUAUUGCUGGCCAAGUCUCACUAUUAGCUCCAUCUAAAAGAGCUUCCACAGGUCCUGAUAAUGCCUCGUUCAGUUUUGCCUCAAACGAUGAUGUGAGUUCAGACAGUUUAACAGCACGGACAGAGGCAACAUGUGUAUCUAUAUCACGUCGCAGCUUAUCCCUGACUUUAGAUGAAUCCCAGUUUGCUUGUUCAAUGACAGCAUCUGCACAUCCUUCGUCAAAUAAAGCCAUGUAAGACUGAGUGCAAGUACGAGCAGCUGAAGAAAACCCUUCCCCUGCAUUCAAAGCCUUAUCAAAUGCUUCCUUGAAUUUCUCAAGAGCUCCUGAUCUUAUAUGUCCUAACAUAGAUUGAUAUGCUGGUUGGACAAGUUGUAGCAAUUUUUCUUCAAGUUGCUUUCGCUUUGCCGAUCUGACUCCUUCAUCAAAAUAAAUAGCUUCUUCAUCAUACUCCAAUAGACAAGCAUUAAGAGUUGAACUAAGCUUCUUUCCAAAGCCAGAGACAGGACUAGAUUGUACAGAGUCUUCUAUUUGACGCCACUCCUCAUUUGCACUGAAAUUAGCAAACUUUUCCUUUGCAAUUUCUUCACAGCGUACAGUAGCAACCAUGACCUUGUGGGCAGGAAGGUCAAGGUCCUUAUUCUCCUUGAUGACUUUCCAGAUUUGUUGAGCACUAAAAGAAAACCCGGAAGCAGGAACUACACCCCGUCGAUCUCCAGCAAGCCCACCAGGCGCAAUAGAAUGGAAAAAGCGUUGCCUCAAAUUAGCCACUUGUUCUUUGAAUUGCUCUUCUUUUUCUUCAUAACUAGAAAGGGCAACAACUUCCACAUUAAAAAAUUCACUUAAUGGAGUUUCCUUGUGUGCUUCUGGCUUGGGAACAGCAUCCCAUAUCUUCUGAAUAUCUU